RNAcentral lists this ribosomal RNA (253 nucleotides) under uncultured bacterium. RNAcentral describes it as "partial 16S ribosomal RNA". It matches the Rfam family "Bacterial small subunit ribosomal RNA", at positions 524 to 776 of the family's 1533-position model. The record is from RNAcentral.
GACGAACCGUGCGAACGUUGUUCGGAAUCACUGGGCUUAAAGGGCGCGUAGGCGGCUUGCCAAGUCAGGGGUGAAAUCCAGCAGCUUAACUGUUGAAGUGCCUUUGAUACUGGCGAGCUCGAGGGAGGUAGGGGUCUGUGGAACUUCUGGUGGAGCGGUGAAAUGCGUUGAUAUCAGAAGGAACACCGGUGGCGAAGGCGGGUCUCUGGGCCGAUACUGACGCUGAGGAGCGAAAGCGUGGGGAGCGAACAGG